CAGACUCCUACGGGAGGCAGCAGUGGGGAAUAUUGCACAAUGGGGGAAACCCUGAUGCAGCGACGCCGCGUGGAGGAAGAAGGAUCUUCGGAUUGUAAACUCCUGUUGUUGAGGAAGAUAAUGACGGUACUCAACAAGGAAGUGACGGCUAACUACGUGC
RNAcentral lists this ribosomal RNA (160 nucleotides) under uncultured bacterium. RNAcentral describes it as "partial 16S ribosomal RNA". It matches the Rfam family "Bacterial small subunit ribosomal RNA", at positions 332 to 508 of the family's 1533-position model. The record is from RNAcentral.